RNAcentral lists this ribosomal RNA (119 nucleotides) under Hymenolepis diminuta. The record is from RNAcentral. Lineage: Eukaryota; Metazoa; Platyhelminthes; Cestoda; Cyclophyllidea; Hymenolepididae.
GUUAGAAAAUAUGCAACGUAGAAAGCAUCGGUUCUAAUCCGAUUACCGAAGUUAAACUACCUUAAGAUGGGUUAGUGCCUACCUGGCUGAUCGGCGGGGAACACCCAGUGUUGCUGACC